CACGAGCGCACCCUCGCCCUUAGUUGCCAGCAUUCAGUUGGGCACUCUAGGGGAACCGCCGGUGAUAAGCCGGAGGAAGGUGGGGAUGACGUCAAGUCCUCAUGGCCCUUACGGGAUGGGCUACACACGUGCUACAAUGGUGGUGACAGAGGGUUAAUCCUUUAAAAGCCAUCUCAGUUCGGAUCGGGGUCUGCAACUCGACCCCGUGAAGUUGGAAUCGCUAGUAAUCGCGGAACAGCAUGCCGCGGUGAAUACGUUCCCGGGCCUUGUACACACCGCCCGU
RNAcentral lists this ribosomal RNA (283 nucleotides) under uncultured Alphaproteobacteria bacterium. RNAcentral describes it as "partial 16S ribosomal RNA". It matches the Rfam family "Bacterial small subunit ribosomal RNA", at positions 1091 to 1397 of the family's 1533-position model. The record is from RNAcentral. Lineage: Bacteria; Pseudomonadati; Pseudomonadota; Alphaproteobacteria.